GAUCCUGGCUCAGGAUGAACGCUAGCUACAGGCUUAACACAUGCAAGUCGAGGGGAAACGACAUCGAAAGCUUGCUUUUGAUGGGCGUCGACCGGCGCACGGGUGAGUAACGCGUAUCCAACCUGCCAAUCACUUGGGAAUAACCUUGCGAAAGUAAGACUAAUGCCCAAUGAUAUCCCACGAAGGCAUCCGAAUGGGAUUAAAGAUUUAUCGGUGAUGGAUGGGGGUGCGUCUGAUUAG
This 240-nucleotide ribosomal RNA is filed under the name uncultured bacterium. RNAcentral's name for it is "partial 16S ribosomal RNA". It matches the Rfam family "Bacterial small subunit ribosomal RNA", at positions 15 to 244 of the family's 1533-position model. The record is from RNAcentral.